RNAcentral lists this ribosomal RNA (675 nucleotides) under uncultured Burkholderiales bacterium. RNAcentral describes it as "bacterial SSU rRNA". It matches the Rfam family "Bacterial small subunit ribosomal RNA", at positions 61 to 733 of the family's 1533-position model. Lineage: Bacteria; Pseudomonadati; Pseudomonadota; Betaproteobacteria; Burkholderiales. The record is from RNAcentral.
GUCGAACGGUAACACGCCGCAAGGUGCUGACCAGUGGCGAACGGCUGAGUAAUGCAUCCGAACCUGCCCCGUCCUGGGGGAUAACGCAGCGAAAGCUGCGCUAAUACCGCAUACCAUCUAUGGAUGAAAGCGGGGGACCGUAAGGCCUCCCGCGAUUGGAGCGGCCGAUGUCCGAUUAGGUAGUUGGUGGGGUAAAGGCUCCCCCAGCCAACGAUCUGUAGCUGGUCUGAGAGGACCACCAGCCCCCCUGGAACUGAGACACGGUCCAGACUCCUACCGGAGGCAGCCGUGGGGAAUUUUGGACAAUGGGCGCCAGCCUGAUCCCGCCAUGCCCCGUGCAGGAAGAAGGCCUUCCGGUUGUAAACUGCUUUUGUACGGAACGAAACGGUCUGAGUUAAUACCUCCGGCUAAUGACGGUACCCUAAGAAUAAGCCCCGGCUAACUACGUGCCCGCAGCCGCGGUAAUACGUAGGGUGCCAGCGUUAAUCGGAAUUACUGGGCGUAAAGCGUGCGCAGGCCGUGAUGUAAGACAGUCGUGAAAUCCCCGGGCUCAACCUGGGAAUUGCGAUUGUGACUGCAUCGCUGGAGUGCGGCAGAGGGGGAUGGAAUUCCGCGUGUAGCAGUGAAAUGCGUAGAUAUGCGGAGGAACACCGAUGGCGAAGGCAAUCCCCUGGG